GGAAGAUUGUCCGAGUGGUUUAUGGAGGCGGUCUUGAAAACCGUUGCGGGUGAAAGCCUGCCGUGGGUUCGAAUCCUACAUCUUCCG
This 87-nucleotide transfer RNA is filed under the name Candidatus Cloacimonadota bacterium. RNAcentral describes it as "Candidatus Cloacimonetes bacterium (wastewater metagenome) tRNA-Ser". It matches the Rfam family "tRNA". From Rfam's summary of the family: Transfer RNA (tRNA) molecules are approximately 80 nucleotides in length. The record is from RNAcentral. Lineage: Bacteria; Pseudomonadati; Candidatus Cloacimonadota.